This 424-nucleotide ribosomal RNA is filed under the name Verrucomicrobiota bacterium. Its description in RNAcentral is "Verrucomicrobia bacterium partial 16S ribosomal RNA". It matches the Rfam family "Bacterial small subunit ribosomal RNA", at positions 355 to 776 of the family's 1533-position model. The record is from RNAcentral. Lineage: Bacteria; Pseudomonadati; Verrucomicrobiota.
UGAGGAAUAUUGGUCAAUGGACGCAAGUCUGAACCAGCCAAGUAGCGUGCAGGAUGACGGCCCUAUGGGUUGUAAACUGCUUUUAUAUGGGGAUAAAGUGGGGAACGUGUUCCCUUUUGCAGGUACCAUAUGAAUAAGGAGCGGCUAAUUCCGUGCCAGCAGCCGCGGUAAUACGGAAGGUUCGGGCGUUAUCCGGAUUUAUUGGGUUUAAAGGGAGCGUAGGCCGUUUGGUAAGCGUGUUGUGAAAUGUAGGAGCUCAACUUCUAGAUUGCAGCGCGAACUGUCAGACUUGAGUGCGCACAACGUAGGCGGAAUUCAUGGUGUAGCGGUGAAAUGCUUAGAUAUCAUGAAGAACUCCGAUUGCGAAGGCAGCUUACGGGAGCGCAACUGACGCUGAAGCUCGAAGGUGCGGGUAUCGAACAGG